GCGGGGAUAUCAUCUUAUACUGUAAGUUUAUUAUAGAGACACUACAGUAUAGAUGAUGUACUAUCCCG
Non-coding RNA from Paralichthys olivaceus (Japanese flounder), 68 nucleotides. The record is from Rfam. Lineage: Eukaryota; Metazoa; Chordata; Actinopteri; Pleuronectiformes; Paralichthyidae.